RNAcentral lists this ribosomal RNA (473 nucleotides) under uncultured bacterium. RNAcentral describes it as "SSU rRNA". It matches the Rfam family "Bacterial small subunit ribosomal RNA", at positions 26 to 518 of the family's 1533-position model. The record is from RNAcentral.
AGGACGAACGCUGGCGGCGUGCUUAACACAUGCAAGUCGAGCGGAAAGGCCCUUCGGGGUACUCGAGCGGCGAACGGGUGAGUAACACGUGAGUAAUCUGCCCCUAGCUCUGGGAUAGCUCCGGGAAACCGGGAUUAAUACCAGAUACGACCACUUUAGACAUCUUCUGUGGUGGAAAGAACUUCGGCUAGGGAUGAACUCGCGGCCUAUCAGCUUGUUGGUGAGGUAACGGCUCACCAAGGCGACGACGGGUAGCCGGCCUGAGAGGGCGACCGGCCACACUGGGACUGAGACACGGCCCAGACUCCUACGGGAGGCAGCAGUGGGGAAUAUUGCGCAAUGGGCGAAAGCCUGACGCAGCGACGCCGCGUGGGGGAUGAAGGCCUUCGGGUUGUAACCUCUUUCAGCAGGGACGAAGCGCAAGUGACGGUACCUGCAGAAGAAGCACCGGCCAACUACGUACCAGCAGCCGC